This 497-nucleotide ribosomal RNA is filed under the name uncultured bacterium. RNAcentral describes it as "partial 16S ribosomal RNA". It matches the Rfam family "Bacterial small subunit ribosomal RNA", at positions 28 to 507 of the family's 1533-position model. The record is from RNAcentral.
GAUGAACGCUGGCGGCGUGCCUGAUACAUGCAAGUCGAGCGAACGGACGAGAAGCUUGCUUCUCUGAUGUUAGCGGCGGACGGGUGAGUAACACGUGGAUAACCUACCUAUAAGACUGGGAUAACUUCGGGAAACCGGAGCUAAUACCGGAUAAUAUUUUGAACCGCAUGGUUCAAAAGUGAAAGACGGUCUUGCUGUCACUUAUAGAUGGAUCCGCGCUGCAUUAGCUAGUUGGUAAGGUAACGGCUUACCAAGGCAACGAUGCAUAGCCGACCUGAGAGGGUGAUCGGCCACGCUGGAACUGAGACACGGUCCAGACUCCUACGGGAGGCAGCAGUAGGGAAUCUUCCGCAAUGGGCGAAAGCCUGACGGAGCAACGCCGCGUGAGUGAUGAAGGUCUUCGGAUCGUAAAACUCUGUUAUUAGGGAAGAACAUAUGUGUAAGUAACUGUGCACAUCUUGACGGUACCUAAUCAGAAAGCCACGGCUAACUACGUG